AAACAAGUGGGUGAUCGAGAACGAGGAAGAGAGAAAGAGGCGAGAAAUUGUCUCCGUUCAAAUUUUGGAGUGUGAAUCUGGUGGCUGGGAUCCUUGACAGAAGGCUCUAGUUUACUGCACAAAACAAGGUAAGCUACUCGUCUAUUUUAUUUUCGUAAUCUGGUUCCAUGUGUCUGAAGAAUAAUGUUCUCGCUCUGGUUCAGACGUGGACUUGGAUUUGGUCUCGUAUGAAAUUUUAAUAUCAUGAGAACGUGCUAUCUCUUUUCGCCUGCUAUCGGGCAUAGUAGCGAAGUUUAUUUUGAAUAAUGUUAUGUUGGGAGUAGCGAACGUGUGUUCGGCUUGGCUGUGUGGCCGAGCAAUCGAAAAAAUGUACAAUAGGGCCACGUUUAGGCUUGUUCCGAGUUUGAGUUCCUAUUAACGUCGUUGUUUUGUAAUCAAGUUUAAAGACGGAUUUCAUACCAAGAUUUCAUUCCGUGGGCUUUGGCGGAUAAACUGUGCAACAUGUUUGAAGAUCCUUUCUUUAUUUUGCCUCCCUUGCUCCUCUUUGGUCGUUUUGAAUAGGCAAAUAUGUAGUGGAAUAUGUUUGGAAUCUGUUUUUGGCCCUAUCAACUGAGUUUAUGAACACAGUUAUAUUCUGAGCUUCCAUUGUUUUCAACGUGUGCAAAUUCCACCACAUAUUCAUCUCUUUUUCUCUUGUUUUGAUUUUCUUGUCGUGGUUAUGUGAUCAACUCAUAUUGUGCGCGUGAUGUUUAAAACUAAGUAUCACACAUGAAUACUUACAUAUGUGACCCAUUUUUUCUUUAUUCGCGCGUGACGACUCCCGAAAGUGAGUUCGAGUCCAAUUUUAUUUUGAAUACAUGGUUGUUAUCUUAAAAUUCAUGUUGUAACCAUUGUUCGCCCAGAGUCUGCAAAUGUAUGAAAGUCGCAUAAUGUGUUAAUAUGUGGAGAUCCAUGAAAUGUGUCUGUAUAUUCACUUUAUUGCUUUCAACAAAGUAGUCUCAUGUGCACGUGUCCAAUUAAAUCUUAGUUUGUCGUGCUUUUCAACUGAAUAUGGAGAGUAACUUAAAAUUCCACCUUCUCUCUUUUCCGAUAUGAUAACAAUACUGUACACUUAUUUUCUUCAAAACAUUUUUAGCAGGAGUCGGCUCUAGAAUUUAAACUCAUUAAUUUGACCCAUUGUGCGACCUUGAAGGAGUUGUCUUCCUAUUUGUUUAACAUACUUGAAGUAAUGAAUUAAAUGAGUUUUCCAUUUGAAUUUUGUUAUAAUUGUAUCUGUGAGAAGAAAGCUUACAUGGUAAUACUACGAUAACCAUUUUGAUAAGAACGGCUUAUUAGUAGGUAUCUGUGUAUUAGUUAAAUUAUCCUAUUACUUUAUAUAAAGAAAGAAGGUUGAAUAUCAUAUCCCAGUAAAAUUCAAUUCAUACACCGUGUUUAUGCUUAUAUAUUUAAUAUAUUAUUCACAUGGUCUUUUCCCUUUUGAACCUUUUAAAACUUAAGGAUUUACUUUUAUCACCACUAUUAGCCUUGGAAAAGCUUAAUUUUUAUUUACUUUUAUCACCACUAUUAGCCUUGGAAAAGCUUAAUUUUUAUGUGUUAUGUGUCAGGCUGUCAUUUUCUAAAGAAGCAUUUUCCUUAGAGCAUUUCUAUCACAGUUAUUUGUUUUAGAUACAAAUUACUAGUUUCUUGUUAGAGCCAUUAAUUUCCAAAAGUAGUCUGCACCACUAAUGUCCUAGUGACGUUCAUUUAUAUUCUUUAGUCAUAAUAUUUUUUAAUAUAUUUUUUAAUCGAUUCCUAACUUUACCACUUUUCUAUUUCAUGUGAACUCCAGAGUUGGAGUUCAGCAGUGAAACUUAUUUUUGACCCGAUCAUCGGAUCAAUCACUACGUAGGAUUGCAGAGCCUCGGAGUCCCGCAAAUUAGGGUCCUAAACUCCUAACGGAAUCUAGUGUUCUUUGCCAUCCUUGGAUUUACUUCAUAUUCUUAUUGCAUUGAGUUUCUCUUUAUAACUAAAUCUCAUUGUCUAUUUUGUUGAAAGUAGUUUUUAUUUGAUUGUUGAACUCAUUUUGCUAUGCUACUUGUUGAUUUGUUACGCAGUUUAGCAUCCCGACUUUUCGUUAAUGUCACAUGAUCGCUAUUAGAUGAAAAUACAAUCCAUCGUACUUAAUUAGCAUAGCAACCUCGCGCUUUUCUUUAAACUAUACCGAAGAUAAAAAAUGAUAUUUUUACGCUCGCUUAUGCCAAAUAAGUUACUAAAACUCACUUUUCUUUUUUAAGAGGUCACUUGCUAAUUUUAACUUAUUUCCAAUAAAAUAAUAAUAAAAUUUUAACUUUUUGUAUGUUAUUAUAUCUCUUCAACGUCCAUUCAAAUUUUCAGGUUCAAGUAAAUAUGAGGUAUAUACAUUUUUUUGUUACUAUGUACAACGUAUUUGUAUUUUCACAAUAACUAUUUUUCAUAUUUAUUAUUAUUAUUAUUGUUGUUAUUAAUAAUUUUAUCUUAUUAAUCCCUCAACAUAUUUUUACAUACUCCAAAAUACAUAUUUCAUAAACAAAAUUCUCAUAAAAUACACUCUUAUUUACUCUACAAUAAUUUUUAAACUUUGCAUAUUUUUAAUUUCUGUAUGGAAUCUUGCAUUUAUAUGAGGGAAUUAGAAUGCUCCUUUUACGUUUAAAUGCAUGUAUAUGUUUACAAUUAUUAUGUUACAUUCUUGUACAUGGUAGCAUUACAUCUCCUACACCUCAAAGUUUCUCCUUGAAAAAUAAAAAAUAAUAAUAAAAGUGUUCUUAUCACCGUUUAAGCAAGUGAUAAAAAUAAAAGUUUCUUCCUAAUAUUUUCUAAGCUGAGCGUAAGGAAUAUCUUCGAAUAGGCUCUGAGGGGUGCCUAAUACCUUUCCCUCGAGUAAUCAAAAUCCUUGGAAUUUUAAAAUGUUUUCAAUAGACCAAAACAGAGUUUUACAUAAAAAAUAAUUUUUAAACAAAUUAGGUGGCGAUUCUAAAAAAAAUAAAUUCGCAAAACCCGAGAGUCACGACAUAGGCCCCCAUACGUUGUGUGCUGUUUCGACCUGUUCGAAAUAGGGUGCGACACAAUUCUAAAGAGAACGACUCUUAUAGAAAUCAUUACUUGCAUAAAUAACGAAUAAAAGACAGUAGUAGGUUUUCGGACGUACCUGUAUCAUAGCGUGGAGCUUUUAUUCAGAUUGACUUUAUCUAGUGACACUCUCAGAG
This 3221-nucleotide long non-coding RNA is filed under the name Capsicum annuum. RNAcentral's name for it is "long non-coding RNA (CANN_LNC010986)". Lineage: Eukaryota; Viridiplantae; Streptophyta; Magnoliopsida; Solanales; Solanaceae. The record is from RNAcentral.